CGCGCGCGUGCGCCGAAUCCCGCGAGGGAACCGGGGAACCACUCUUCCGGGGUGAAUCGGGUGCCCGUACGGGUGCCCGUAGGAGACCUUCCUGCUCCGAACCCGUCAGCUAACCCGGUAGGCGAGAAGGAAGGAAAGG
Streptomyces sp. Tu6071 is the source of this 139-nucleotide non-coding RNA. NCBI's taxonomy places the organism in Bacteria, Bacillati, Actinomycetota, Actinomycetes, Kitasatosporales, Streptomycetaceae. The record is from Rfam.